RNAcentral lists this transfer RNA (73 nucleotides) under Strongylocentrotus purpuratus (purple sea urchin). It matches the Rfam family "tRNA". Rfam says of the family: Transfer RNA (tRNA) molecules are approximately 80 nucleotides in length. Their secondary structure includes four short double-helical elements and three loops (D, anti-codon, and T loops). Lineage: Eukaryota; Metazoa; Echinodermata; Echinoidea; Camarodonta; Strongylocentrotidae. The record is from Rfam by way of RNAcentral.
UGAUGUGUUGCUCAGUCAGUAGAGCGUCCGCCUCACAACCGGGAGGUCGUGGGUUCAAACCCCGACCGCGUCA